GGGCCGGUAGCUUAGUUUGGAAGAGCGUGGGACUUCUAAUCCCAAGGUCACGGGUUCAAAUCCCGUCCGGCCCA
RNAcentral lists this transfer RNA (74 nucleotides) under Nautiliaceae bacterium. RNAcentral describes it as "tRNA-Arg". It matches the Rfam family "tRNA". Rfam says of the family: Transfer RNA (tRNA) molecules are approximately 80 nucleotides in length. The record is from RNAcentral. Lineage: Bacteria; Pseudomonadati; Campylobacterota; Epsilonproteobacteria; Nautiliales; Nautiliaceae.